GAGCAAUCUGUGUGACUGCGUACCUUUUGUAUAAUGGGUCAGCGACUUAUAUUCUGUAGCAAGGUUAACCGAAUAGGGGAGCCGAAGGGAAACCGAGUCUUAACUGGGCGUUAAGUUGCAGGGUAUAGACCCGAAACCCGGUGAUCUAGCCAUGGGCAGGUUGAAGGUUGGGUAACACUAACUGGAGGACCGAACCGACUAAUGUUGAAAAAUUAGCGGAUGACUUGUGGCUGGGGGUGAAAGGCCAAUCAAACCGGGAGAUAGCUGGUUCUCCCCGAAAGCUAUUUAGGUAGCGCCUCGUGAAUUCAUCUCCGGGGGUAGAGCACUGUUUCGGCAAGGGGGUCAUCCCGACUUACCAACCCGAUGCAAACUGCGAAUACCGGAGAAUGUUAUCACGGGAGACACACGGCGGGUGCUAACGUCCGUCGUGAAGAGGGAAACAACCCAGACCGCCAGCUAAGGUCCCAAAGUCAUGGUUAAGUGGGAAACGAUGUGGGAAGGCCCAGACAGCCAGGAUGUUGGCUUAGAAGCAGCCAUCAUUUAAAGAAAGCGUAAUAGCUCACUGGUCGAGUCGGCCUGCGCGGAAGAUGUAACGGGGCUAAACCAUGCACCGAAGCUGCGGCAGCGACGCUGAUGCGUUGUUGGGUAGGGGAGCGUUCUGUAAGCCUGCGAAGGUGUGCUGUGAGGCAUGCUGGAGGUAUCAGAAGUGCGAAUGCUGACAUAAGUAACGAUAAAGCGGGUGAAAAGCCCGCUCGCCGGAAGACCAAGGGUUCCUGUCCAACGUUAAUCGGGGCAGGGUGAGUCGACCCCUAAGGCGAGGCCGAAAGGCGUAGUCGAUGGGAAACAGGUUAAUAUUCCUGUACUUGGUGUUACUGCGAAGGGGGGACGGAGAAGGCUAUGUUGGCCGGGCGACGGUUGUCCCGGUUUAAGCGUGUAGGCUGGUUUUCCAGGCAAAUCCGGAAAAUCAAGGCUGAGGCGUGAUGACGAGGCACUACGGUGCUGAAGCAACAAAUGCCCUGCUUCCAGGAAAAGCCUCUAAGCAUCAGGUAACAUCAAAUCGUACCCCAAACCGACACAGGUGGUCAGGUAGAGAAUACCAAGGCGCUUGAGAGAACUCGGGUGAAGGAACUAGGCAAAAUGGUGCCGUAACUUCGGGAGAAGG
This 1162-nucleotide ribosomal RNA is filed under the name Escherichia coli. Its description in RNAcentral is "partial 23S ribosomal RNA". It matches the Rfam family "Bacterial large subunit ribosomal RNA", at positions 582 to 1746 of the family's 2925-position model. Lineage: Bacteria; Pseudomonadati; Pseudomonadota; Gammaproteobacteria; Enterobacterales; Enterobacteriaceae. The record is from RNAcentral.